Molecule: ribosomal RNA, 524 nt
Filed under: uncultured bacterium
Lineage: Bacteria
Description: bacterial SSU rRNA
Rfam family: Bacterial small subunit ribosomal RNA
Source: RNAcentral
CUAAGAAUAUUCCGCAAUGGACGAAAGUCUGACGGAGCGACGCCGCGUGGAUGAAGAAGGCCGAAAGGUUGUAAAGUCCUUUUAUUGCUGAAGAAUAAGCAGGGCAGGGAAUGGCCUUGUGAUGACGUUAGGCAAUGAAUAAGCCCCGGCUAAUUACGUGCCAGCAGCCGCGGUAACACGUAAGGGGCGAGCGUUGUUCGGAAUUAUUGGGCGUAAAGGGCGCGUAGGCGGUUAUACAAGUCUGGCGUGAAAUACUGGUGCUUAACACCGGAAUUGCGUUAGAAACUGUGAAACUGGAGUCAUGGAGGGGGAGUUGGAAUUCCUGGUGUAGGGGUGAAAUCUGUAGAUAUCAGGAAGAACACCGGUGGCGAAGGCGAACUUCUAGCCGAUGACUGACGCUGAGGCGCGAAAGUGCGGGGAGCAAACAGGAUUAGAUACCCUGGUAGUCCGCACUAUAAACGAUGUGCACUAGGUGUUGGGCCGAGCGGUUCAGUGCCGGAGCGAACGUGAUAAGUGCACCGCCU